Small nucleolar RNA from Equus asinus (donkey), 68 nucleotides. Its record names the gene SNORD42. It matches the Rfam family "Small nucleolar RNA SNORD42". From Rfam's summary of the family: snoRNA U42 is found in intron 3 of the ribosomal protein L23a (RPL23a) gene in humans and is also present in mice. U42 is a member of the C/D class of snoRNA which contain C (UGAUGA) and D (CUGA) box motifs. The record is from Ensembl. Lineage: Eukaryota; Metazoa; Chordata; Mammalia; Perissodactyla; Equidae.
CAGCAAAGAAUGGAAAAAAUCACUAUCUGGAAAAAAAUGACAAGCACAAAGGAAGCACUGCUAUGCGA